Molecule: non-coding RNA, 193 nt
Filed under: Flavobacterium rivuli
Lineage: Bacteria; Pseudomonadati; Bacteroidota; Flavobacteriia; Flavobacteriales; Flavobacteriaceae
Also listed under: 1 other name
Source: RNAcentral
UCUUUGUGCCACACUUAAGGUUGCAUUGCGCUGUCGCCGUAAUGCAUUAAAAGGGAAUCGGGUAUAAAAAGCCCGGGCUGUUCCCGCAACUGUAAGCUUAUCCCGCAAGGGAGGCUGUUGUUAACUGCAAACCACUGUUUUUAUAAACGGGAAGGUAAACAACAGCACGCAAGCCAGGAGACCUGCCUUAACU